RNAcentral lists this unclassified non-coding RNA (311 nucleotides) under plant metagenome. RNAcentral describes it as "partial contains 5.8S ribosomal RNA, internal transcribed spacer 2, and large subunit ribosomal RNA". The stretch from base 1 to 104 matches the Rfam family "5.8S ribosomal RNA", at positions 51 to 154 of the family's 154-position model. The record is from RNAcentral.
AAAUGCGAUAAGUAAUGUGAAUUGCAGAAUUCCGUGAAUCAUCGAAUCUUUGAACGCACAUUGCGCCCUCUGGCAUUCCGGGGGGCAUGCCUGUCCGAGCGUCAUUACGCACCCUCAAGCCCGGCUUGUGUGAUGGGCCCUGGCGUCUCGUUCGCGAGACGGGCCCGAAAGGCAGCGGCGGCGUCGACCCAAUGAGCCCGAGCGUAUGGGGACUUUUGUCACACGUUUGCGGUGCGGACCGGCGCCUGCUUGACUUUUCUGAUUAUCCAGGUUGACCUCGGAUCAGGUAGGGAUACCCGCUGAACUUAAGC